RNAcentral lists this ribosomal RNA (253 nucleotides) under uncultured bacterium. Its description in RNAcentral is "partial 16S ribosomal RNA". It matches the Rfam family "Bacterial small subunit ribosomal RNA", at positions 524 to 776 of the family's 1533-position model. The record is from RNAcentral.
UACGUAGGUGGCAAGCGUUGUCCGGAUUUACUGGGCGUAAAGAGCGCGCAGGCGGUCGUUCAAGUCGCGUGUGAAAGCCCCCGGCUCAACUGGGGAGGGUCACGCGAUACUGAUCGACACGAAGGCAGGAGAGGGUAGUGGAAUUCCCGGUGUAGUGGUGAAAUGCGUAGAUAUCGGGAGGAACACCAGUGGCGAAGGCGACUACCUGGCCUGUUCUUGACGCUGAGGCGCGAAAGCUAGGGGAGCAAACGGG